GCCCUCCAGGUCUUAGCUCAGUCGGUAGAGCAUGCGACUCUUAAUCUCAAGGUCGUGGAUUCAAGCCCCGAGUUGGGCA
RNAcentral lists this transfer RNA (79 nucleotides) under Podarcis lilfordi (Lilford's wall lizard). RNAcentral's name for it is "tRNA.Lys". Lineage: Eukaryota; Metazoa; Chordata; Lepidosauria; Squamata; Lacertidae. The record is from RNAcentral.